UCCCAGCUGGCUCAGAUGGUAAAGAAUCCGCCUGCAAUGCAGGAGACCCAGGUUCAAUCCCUGGGUCAGGAA
Molecule: non-coding RNA, 72 nt
Organism: Bos taurus (domestic cattle)
Lineage: Eukaryota; Metazoa; Chordata; Mammalia; Artiodactyla; Bovidae
Source: Rfam